Long non-coding RNA from Falco peregrinus (peregrine falcon), 11968 nucleotides. RefSeq lists it as uncharacterized. The transcript is spliced from 3 exons. The record is from RefSeq and is a predicted model, not a curated record. NCBI's taxonomy places the organism in Eukaryota, Metazoa, Chordata, Aves, Falconiformes, Falconidae.
AUGGCAAAGACCUCGAUGCCAGCUGCUCUGGCCCUUGCUGACACAUCCUGCACUCCAUCCUGGGGACGUCCAUCAGUCACAACGAUCGCCACCUACACAGAGGAGAGCAGAGGCAAGGCAAGCAUCUGUAAGAAAAGCACAGUUAUCGGUUGACAACAUGUACUUCUGAGGGAGCAAGGUGAUGAGAUGCUGGCGCUGCACUUGUGGGAGCAGGUUACCCACUUGUCACCCGGUGCUACUGCGAAUGUCUGUAUAAAACUUAACAGCAGCAUGGAGGGAGGAAUAAAGUUGCGAACUGAAGCCUGGGUAUGCACAUCUGCAUCAAAGUCUCUAAAGGCAUCAGCACAUUUUGGACAGGGAUAAACGAUUCACAUGGAUAUUAAUUAAUCAGAUUAUGUCUUUGUCAUGCAUGACCAGAAGCAGGCAUGAAACUCAGCAGUUCAGACUGGGCUGUGAAUCAAGAUGCCCAGAUUAACUAGCCAAUGUAACAUGAACCAGCCUCAAGUUAUAGUCUCAUAGCUAGUGGCACUAAUAAUGAAAUACUGUAACGCAGCACAGACCAGCGCCACUUUAUUUCUGUGAGCUAGUGAGGGAGAAUACAAUAGGGAGAUGUAGAACCAUGUAAUUGAUAGUUAAUCUCUACAGCCUCAUAGUAAGACAUGAAUAUCCACUGUCAAAAGUAAAUGGGAUAAACAGCAAGCAUUAGCAAUGCAAAAAGCUGAGUGAUUUUUUUUUCUCAUUUUCAUGCUGGUUUCCAUCUUAAUUUUCAACGGUGGCAAAACAUAAAAAGGGCUAAUACUUUUUUAUGAUUUUCUAAAUGAAUUGUCCCAUUUCCCCCACCAGAUCUAUAGCAUUCUGUUCUCUAUGGUUUUUUUGUCUCGUUUAGCCUAUCUCUGUAGGAGCAUCAAGUGCUCUGUUAAUAUUUGAUUUCCACAGAGAGGGACUAUAUAGGUUAUAUCAUAAAGGAGAUUUCUGUGGACAGAUUUUUAAAUGUGAGCUUUUGGGCCAACAAAUCUGUUCCAAAUUAUGACAUAAAUAUUAUAGCUAGGUCUCAGUGUGAAAUCUAAUUGAGCUUUCAGUCCUUCAGAAAGAUGAAAAUAAAUACCCUGUGAUAUAUCCAUAAAGAAUAUAAUCAAGUUAGUUUCCUGAGAGACACUAAUGCUGAAUCUGCCUCUGGUUCCCAGGAAGGUCUCUCUAAAGCAUGCUGUGUGUAGAAGGGAAGCAGGCAGUGGUUGCUUUGUCAGUUGCUCUAGUUCCACUAGAAUGCAAUAUAACCCUUUCCCAUGUGGGUGACUUUCACUGUGCCACCAGAAUUUGUUGCAGAGGAAGGAAAAACUCAGCUGGCAGUCUGUCUGCAGUACUGCAAAUCCCUUUACCAGGGGUUGGUUAUGCCCAUUUCACAGGUGAGAAAUGAAGGUACAGAGAAAGGCUCAAAGUCUUGCAAGCUGUUGCUCAAGAAAUAAAGCACAGAUUCCCCUUUGCCACUGUAACUAAUGAAUCGCCUCCAUAUUUUUUUUAGUGAGAAACCAAGGAAUAAAAGUGUUUGUUUUCUUAUUCCCUAGGAAUAGUUGGAUCCAAUGCAAGUUUUGAGGUUUUGGUGGGGUUUUUUUAUGGAAGCUCUGUGAUUUUGCCUUAAAUAACAUUUUAAACCUCUUUUUAUGAGAGUGAAGUAUGUUUCUGGCAAGUGAAGAGAAAAGAAGAGAUAUCAGAUGGGAGCUUUGGGAAUUCAGCCUGUCUGGUCACAGCCAUGGUCCAGACAUCAGGGUCUGCAGAACAGGCCUUGGUUAUUUCCAGGAGGUGAGAGUCAGACGUGCUUGCUCUGAAUGACAUCUUGACUCAGCACAGUUUAUUUUAAGGGCUUAAACCAGAAAUAAAAUCCUCCUCUAUUUUUAAAAAUGUUCACACUUGAAGUUAUUCAGGAAUAGCUGAAUUUCACGCACUGAUUUAGCAGAAAAUAUCUCUUAGGGCAUCUUUGCUUCCUGUUCAUUAAAAGAACAGGAAACCUGCCUAGUAACUCAGAAUUAAAAGGUGUUUAUUUUAGAAAUACCAAUUGCUCACAGUAAGGCUGAGUUGAAUGACCUGUCUGUUUAGUCUACUGACUUUGGUAGUGCCUAGUGGUUCUGCAGUGAAGAUAAAUCUCUCUUUCCAAAUUACCAAGGAGAAACUGUUCAGUAUAUCAGAAAACUUCCCCUCAUCACCCACUGCUAAGUCGGCAGUCACUGUCACACUUAUUUUCCAAUUGUCAGCCUGCCCAGGUAUAUGCAUUAUGCAUCAUCGUAAGAUUGUUCAAACAUUUUUAAAAGCCAGCAGUAACUUUUGCCUUGGCAAUCUCUCCCGCGGUGAGCUCCCCUGGCUGGCUGGAACUCCUGGCAGCACGCUGCCCUUGGCAGAGGAGAGAUGCUUCCUCGCCACCAGACCCUCCAGCCCUCCCCCUGGUAUUCGGUACUUGCUGACACUAAUUGCAGACUAGGAGUCACUGACCAUGCAACUUAAAGAGCAGGCAGCUCAUCUCCCAUCUGGCUGCGUGACACCCCACUUGGAAAGAAAAACAGAGCAGGAUUUUGCUCAAAAAUGAAUGAAGCAAAACCCGGGAAAGGCCCAUCCUCAGCAUCCAGACCCAGACCUUCCUGCUCGGUGAGGUUAACCAGAGCCUGGGGUGUCUGGCCAGCCCCUCCUCCAGCCCCCGGCAAAACCAGCCCUCUGCAGAGCUGUGGGGAGAAGUAGCUCUGGAUGGCAGAAGAGAGCCCUUCUCCUGCCAGGGCCUCCUGCAGCUGGAAGCAGCAACCCCGGGGCUGCCUCUGUGCUGGGGGCCAGGCCUGAGCUGAUGCCACCACCUUGGCUGUCCUCAGCACAGAUCUCCUGCUUUUUCUCUAAAGCAGUCAUGGGCAGAAGCAAACACAUGUCCAGGUGUUGCUGCCUUGGGAAAACACUUGAGAAAGCUCCUUUGCUUCCCUGACUGAUGUUGGGUAUUUCUUCUUCCUUCAUUUCCUUCCCAGUCCCAAAGCAGGCUGUGCCGAGGAGGUAGAGCAUCGACAUGCUGCAUCCUGCCACUGAGCUCCCCACUUACCUCUCUGCUGUGGAGGUGCCCCGCAAACGCCAUAGCUCUGGAGGAGAAGCAGCAAAGAGAGCAAGGCAGAGAAAAUCCUGUCCAUGGCUGUGGAGGAGCUGGAGGCUGGAUGCAGAGUGGCAAGCAAGAGCUUUGGCCCGGAGCAUAGCAUUCAGGUCUGUACACACGAGGGAGAUGCAGCUCCUGCCACAAAAAGCUAAUAAACUAAAUCAACGAAUAAGACUGAUGAUGCUGCAAGUGGGCAGAAAUCCAAUGUUUUAUUUAUGGAAGAGAAGUAAGGAGAUUUAGUUCCAGAGUAAGAUGAAUUUAAUGAAUUUAAUGAAUCAUGACAAAGCAGUGCAUCUAUUUUCUUUUUUUUUUAACUACUGUAUUACACUAUCGUCCGUUGAUUAAAGCCCUUCUCCUCUGAUGGAUCAGUCUUUGCUUACCUUUCCAGCCACACACCCUCGGAGCACUCAUCCAUUUCAUCUGCAUUGUGUUGGUACAGCACCGUGGCAAACUACCUUUAAUUCAAAACCCAGUUUCUCUUCCCUUACCCAGAGUCACUCUUUACUCCAAACGUUCUUCAACAGAGACUGAGACCUCCUGUGGAGAAAGGGUCUUUGAUUACGGAAAAAAGGGCCUGUCCUCAGUGAAGUUACCAGACUAUUCUUAACUCUUUCAACAUUAAAACUAUUAAUUAAAAUAUUUAAAGAUGGCUGUGUUCUCAUGCAAAAUCAGCACGGAUUUGUCCUGCUGCUAUCUUCCCAAGUACACACCAUCAGUCACAGGCUUUCAACCAUCUCUGGAGCUAGCUGGAGAUUUUCUAGGCAUAAGGAGCAAAUGCUUCAGAUGAGCUUUUUUUGCUCCCAUUUUGCCUCUUUCUGUCAUUGAGGCCCGUUUCCAAGCUUUGUGGCACCUUCCUUUACUUGCCUGCUAUUUCAGAGCCCCUGGGAUUAAAAGGACGCUCAUGCAAGAUGUAAAAAUUGCAGAUUAUGAUCAUGGAGUAGUAUAGAAAACACACGCAGACCUUCAUGUGUACAUGUGCAUGCACAAAAAGCCGGGUAUAAAAACUUCAUGUAUAAAUGCUUAUGCCUAUGAACGGAUGCAUAAAUAUAUACACGUAUGACCAUACAUGCAUGUAUGUGUUUAGGUAUAUAAAUAUGUAUGUGUGCACAUAUAUACAGACACAAAACUCUUCUCCAUGCAUACUUUUCAUGGAUGUGUUUAUAUAUGCAUGGAUUUAGAUGAGUGCCACUAUGUAUAAAUACUAUUCACUAAUAUCCUCAUGUGCUUAUAUGCACACAGGUAUGUUUGCUCCCAAAAUAUAUAGAACAGCUACAGCCAUACAUUGACAACUGUUAAGGAACAAAGUGAGAUAGAAUCAUAACAUUUAGGAGAUUUUAUCUACAGCCCUGUCUACGAUGGGGUUUCUCCUGUUGCUCUGGCAUCAGUACAAGGAUCUACUGGUGCAGACAGUACUUGCUUGCUGUGAAUAGGGAUCAUUCAGAGCCCUCUGUAAAUAAAGACUCUAUGGCUGUUCUUGCUGAGGAAAAUAUAAAGUUUCUCUGUGUCAUUUUGCUGUUAAUUAGCAAAGAAAGAAAAAUAUAUUUCAGGUGAAUAUUUUUCACUAGCAGAGGUUGUGGCACACAAGCAACACUAAAGCUUUGAAAAUAAGGUGAGAGGCAAAGGAGUGCUGGCUACUAUAGGUCUGCAUUUAUACCUCUGUAAAAGCAAUGUUUACUUUUAAAAUAUGAAACAUAUUUUUUACCCAGGCCUCUGAAAAUGAAAACACUGAAUUCAAUAUUUCAAGAGGAAAAUAUGCAUUUAAAGCUCUUCCUGAGCCUGCUUGCAACGUAAACAGUCAAACCAUUAAUGGCUUAUGCUGGCCACAGAGCAGCCCUGCCAUUCUGUAGAGCCGCUUCAUGUGUAGCUUGUAGGCUUCAUGUGUCCUGGCACAAGGAAGGUCUGCCUCCCCCUCCAAGGCAUUCAUGUCCAUGUCUCCUUAGUAAAAAAAGUGCUUUUAAAUACCAGCUUCCCUCUUUCCUCCCACUGCUGGAUGGUCAGCAGAAGAUCCUGGUCCCUUGCUCCUCCUGAAAUCAAAUGCUUCAGACUGAUGGGAAAUUGUUGUGCAUAGCCAGGGAGGUUUUUUCUCCAAACAAUGGUCCCAUUGAAUUAUUAUCUGAGUGCAGAUGGAGAAGAAAAGGUAUGUAGAUGCUUUGUAUCAAGGCAAAGAAGGUGCCAGGGGAAGACAACACCUGAACCCAUAUGGGUUUUUCUGACUUGGGUUUGCACCCUGGUCCCUCGCUGUCCACAUGUCUGUUCAGAUUAUGACUGUUGCAUCAUUCUCAGGCUGGACAAGACAAAUAUUUUUUUUUUUUGAGAAAUCUCCAGUACAAAGUGGGAUUAUCUGCUGUGCUGAUACCAGCACUAUGGGUAAAAGCAUGUUGCUGAGCAUGCUACACGGCUGCAGCCUCAGCGCUCCUACCAGUGGGUGGGCAGAGGGGCUGGAGCUGCUGGGGCCAUCUUGUCCCCACUGGUGUGAGACCAUACUUGCUGAUGCCCAUUGUUGGAUUGCCAGCUCAGAUGGAUGAGCUUGGCUGAACUGAGCUUGGCUGUACUAAGCUUGUCUGCAGUGUUUGGAUGUCACAGCAUGGAUGAGCCAUGUUUAAUACCAUGGCAGUGUGAAGCUCACUGUUGGAGUGCUUAAACUGCUGGGAAACUUCAGCUGGAAAAUAAUAUUGUAAGUGUUUAAUGGGGCUGGAGAGCCUCGGCACUGCCCUACCAACUGACACAGCCUCAAUCCAGCCAAGGCUGCUACCUACAGGUGAAUGAGACUCCAUUAAAAUAAAUGCCUUUCCAUAGGCAGUAAGGUCCAGCAGAAGGCUCUAGUGGGAAGUCAGGACAUGCAGCUUGUCCUCCCCAACAUGACCAGUCAAGGAAGCAUCAUCCUCUGCUCCCAGGCAAGAGUGAGGUUUUCCUUUGCUGGCUGGUGACUGGAAGCUCUGUGUGAUGCCCCAUGCUUACUACUGCAAUGGUCACUGUGCUGCAUUCUCCUUUGAAUCCUUCCUUGUUUUUCUAAGAGCUUUUUCCUGGUUUGUAAAAUCCUGAUGGUAAAAUACCACUCUGAUGGGGGCCUUCAUUUUUUUGACUGUCAAAUCUGCCAGCUUUGGGAUGGGCCAGGAAAGAGCAAAGCCCAGUUUAAGAAUAAGCACUAUAAGUACUAAAAAGCAAGUGCAUACUGGUACAGGCAGCAUUGCAGCUGGGAGAGGUGGGAACUUCUCAUUUGUUAUAAGACAAGCAAGUCUGAUAGCAUAAACUGUAUAAAUGCAGAUUCUUUCUCUAUUCCUACAUGUGUAACAUUUCACAGGAACAUAGAUCAGAUGGGAAAAGCCCCCAAAAAUGACAUUUUAGUUUCAAUAAUGGCAGACAUGCUUUUUUUUGAUUUGGCAUUUUACUUUUUCAGUUUGUUUUGCUCAAGUUUUAUUUUAAAGCAGUGUUUUAAUUUUGUAUUUACAUAUUUCCAAUAAACAUACCAUUACUACAUUUAAUAUCUUAGUAAAAAUUUCACUCUGUAACAAGCCAAAAUGAGAAAAUCACAAUGAAUCAGUCCCUGAGGAGUUUCCAUGCAAAUGACCCAGAAGAAUGUGAAGGUUUUCUGUGGGAUAAAAGGACAUCAGACUUCAGGGAUCUCAAGACAUUUCCAAACUUCAAAUAGAGUUCAAGCAGAAGGCAUUUAAAAUAUUGGGGGUUUCUUUUUUAUUUAAAAAAAAAAAAGAAAAAGCACAGUGUUUGUAGCCCUGGCCCGUAUAUACUUCUUAGAAGGGAUCUGGAGAUGCAGCUAAGUCAUGCUAGUUGAAGCAGCAGGGCAAGAAGAGGGUUGGGAAGGGAUAAGAAGCCAAAUCCCAGGUAGUUUACUGUUGAUUUUUAUUUCAUUCUAAACAAACCUGUUAGUUGUACUAAACACAGCUUUCUUGCCCUCCAGCCACCACAAAACUCCAAGGUUUAGCAAAAUGCUCAGUAAUUUUUUUGGCUUUUUCAGGCUUUCUUUUAUGUUCCCAGGUGAGUGUUUCUGAGCUGGAUUCACAGCCUCCAUUUUUCAUAUACUCAGAGAAACGGUGGCAAAAGCUGCCAUUUAGUCAAAGCUCCAAUUCUUGUAUUUUAUCCCCACGGUGUUUCUAUUUCAGUUUGUUUCAGGGACUGGAGGAGUCCCUCCCAGCCUGCUUCGUUACCUGAAAGGAUAUUUACUGCACUGCCACUGUAUUGCAAAAGUGAUAUUUACAGCAGUGGGAUCAGGGAAAAGCAUAAAACAAAUGGUUUAAAGGGUGAAAGACUGGGGAGAAAUGAAUGUUUUUAAAUAUAACCCUUUUGAUAACUCAGGUUCAAAAGAACUGCUGUUUAUCCUUUAAGCUGCAAAUGGCUGGCAAAUAUCCUUGUGCUCUGAUACUGUAAAUAGUAAAUGCUGUUUAUGGCUAGUCAAUGUUUAUGUAUUUUAUGGGUCACAUUUAUUUCAGAGGGAUCAUUUUUUAUUUGCUGUGUUAACCUUGCCCACAUCUUCCCCCUGGGACCAAGUUGCCUCCUGGGCUCUGUUCCUGGCUCUCCCGCUGACCACCUGCAAAACUUUGGGCAGCUCGUGUCCUCCCUCUGUGCCUUGACUUCUCCAGCUGGACAGUGCCACCGACAGCACUGACCUGGCCCAGAAGUCCCUAAGGGUAUCUCUGCCCUACUAAAUGGCUUGAAUGAAACAGUACUAUAAGACUUACUUGCAAAGAUGAAGGUCACCGUGCAGGCAGCUCUUUAUCUUUAAGGUGAAUGAGCCAAGAUACCGGCUGGGUCAAGCCAAGCUGUACAAGAAGACAUCCUACCAAGGUAGGAAGAUGUGGGAAUACAGAUCAUCCAAGAAGAGCAACAUCCUUGCAAAAUAACUUUCAUGAACAGAAAUGUUACAAAAAUCCUGUGGGCAGACACAUGGAUGAGAGAGAUCCUCAGCUGGAGUCCAUGGGGGAGGUUGGCCUGACGGAUGAACGCACAGACAGAAAGCCAACAGCAGCAAAAGAAUUUGGACUGAUGCAUGACCACAGUGCCAGUUUCUGUCAUUCUGGGCCUACCACUGGGGACAGCAGUUGCAGCAACUUCAUUCAACUGAUACAAGUGAGUAAUUAUCUUAAUGAACUGUCUGCAGGCAAGCUGAAGUGAAGCCUGUUUUUUUUUAUGUUUGAUUUAUGCAGUUAUAAAGGUACCUGUCCCAGGCGCUAGGGUCUGAAUCCUGGAAGGUUUAUAGGUGUCAUUCAAAUCAGCAGGAACCAAGGCAGCAAGAAAACCAAGAAGGGCAGUGCGGUCCCUGUGGUGCAGGACAGUCUGCAGUGACAGACUCCUGGAGAAAUGCUACAUAUCCAUCACCCGGGAUUCCCUCUGCCGCUACAGGGCAGUCAGCGCACUGGCUUACAUCAACUCUAGGAGAUACCAGGGAAUGCUGCCAAGCUGCUGUCUUUGCCCUCUUCAAGGUCUAUUUAUACCCACUCACGGGCAUCAGAAUACCCUUGAGAUAGGAGAGACCUUUCCAUCACAGUGGACGCUAUGAGUUGACCUGCCUGGGUUUGAGCACAGCUGUUCCUAUUGCAUUAUGCAUUAUUUUUGCCAAGUCACUAGCAGCUCCAUCAUGCUUCUGGAUGCCAUUUCAAGGUCUGAUAGAAGUCAGCACCAGAAAAAUGCUUCUGACACUCUGCAGGCUUUACUGACACUGUAUUUUCUGCCAUCUUUGGUGCUGUUUAACAUCCAGGAGGAUUUGUAGAAUCCAAAGUUUUACUGAGUUUUGACGUCAAAGAGCCUCUCACAAAAUUGUGUGGCCUGAAUUUAUUGCUGGAGCAACCUGUGCUGGUUACCUUCACCAGAAAUCAUGUCCCAUCAGUGGACAGGUUGAUGAAAUGUUUACCUAAAAGGCUGUGAGAGGCGCGUGGGAGCACUGCCGGUACAUGACUGGUGUUUGCAGCAUUGUCUCGUUGGGAGCAGCCAAAGGCUGAGGGAAGAAGCCUUGAGGAGGUCUGUCUGGUGCCAAUAAAACAAAACACUUCUGCAAUGGCAUAGAAUAUAACUCCAGCCAUGAGGACUACCUGCCGGUCUCUAGGGUCUUGCUUAGACCUUUAGUAGCUCUCUUGCAGUCUUGGGAACUGAGCCUGGUUUUGAGAGCAGACCAGAAUCUUCAUCACACAUUCUGCAGUGUCCCUCCCUCCUCUGACUGGCUUCAUGAUAUUCCAUGAAUUCUUUUCCUUUCCUUCAUACCUCAAUUUCCCUUUCUGUGGAACAGGGAGACCAGUGUUUUCUUGUUUCUUUUUCAGAGCAGAGAGAGAGGUAUGUCUUCUCCACUUGAAAGCCCUGGCACCAGAAUGCCUAAAAAAGAACAAGGCACCAAACAAAGCAGAAACUCUGAAGCAACACACAGACACUCAAAGCAAAAAGUCUUUUUUUCCACUGGAGCUUUUGCUCUGUGUCAGAUGGGGGAGAAAAGGCACAGUCAGUCAGGUAAUCUAAUGGCCAUCUCUGGAGCCCUGGAGCACCUCCACCACCAUGAGAUGCUGCUGCUAAGGUGGUCAGGUCCCUCUAACAUAUCUGUUCUGCCAGUGCUGAGAUCAUCAGCUCAAUCUACUUUCUAUGUCAAAGAAUUGCUGCUCAUCUCUGCUGCAUUGGGAAAGAGCAGCAAUGUAUGCAGCAGCAUUAAGCAUACGUGUGAACUGGUUCUCAGCCUGCGUUGGAGAGACUUAAAUUAGUAAAUCAGUUUAGAGAAGAAAAAACAGUAUAACAGUUGCAUAUUACAAAGAGUCUUUAUCAGUCUCAAAACCAGCAUUGAUAGCACCACCGUCUGACUUACUAACAGGCUUGGGACAGCUUGUGUUCAGUUUGUGUUGGCUAAAUUAUCUAACAUUUCAGCAAACCAAACCCACUUCCUGUCUAGGACUCAGCCCCUGACCUGGCAGGAAGCUCACAAUAAAUCUAUACAUUUUAUCAGAUUUCAGGGGGGAUGUGAGCCAGACAUUCACAGGGAACUAUUCCGAGCUCUGGAGAGAAAACACUGCGUGAAGCAGAAGGGUCUUCUGGCUUGCUAAGAGCCUUGAAACAUCAGGAUCAUUUAGAAGAUCAGGUGUGUGCCCAAAGGCUCGACUCUUCAUACACAUUGAAACAAACCCUGUCUCUGCAAGAAAUUCGUUGAACAUACUUUAGCUACUUCAGCUGUAUUAUCAGAGUCAAUUAAACCAAGAAGCUUAGGGGUUGUUUAACCCUGCUGCAGUAACGAAAUAGCCAAGAACAUUAUUAACGGGAAUUUAAUUGGAGGUAGAAUUUGAACUAUUUAAAGAGAUGGAAAAGGAUUUUUAACACAAUGUAGUUGGAUCACAUUGAGGAGCUCUCUUCAGGUUUAGAAGCCAAGUGAAACGUUAGCAUUUCUCUGAAUGAUGUUUUGGGCAGACGGGGUUAACAGGGUGUUGGUCAAUGUUGGCCCGCAGAAGGCACCCCAGUGCUGUGAUGGCUGUCACACACAAUCUCAGCAACUACAGACUCUGAAGAGGAAUCUUAAAGGAAGGACUGUGCUUUCAGAUACCUCCCUAAACAAACAAGGAGAGAAGCUCCACCCAAGCGUCCCAUCUCCAGACCUGGCUUUAAGUACUGCAACCAAGGGAGGCAGGUAGCUGGUAAGAAAUGAGAAGCAGAAAAUUUCAGCAUCCAGCCUGGUCCUGAAAAGGGCUGGCAGGUGAUUUCUGGAAGGUUCUAUAGGCUAUUGUUUAUUUUGUUUCAAAGAUAAUGGUUUAUCUCUCCACUUAAUUAAGAAAGAGACUGGGCUGGUCCUUGAUGCAGGAAGCUGGGCUCUUCACAUGCUUCUGCAAGGUUGUCUGCUUGAACAUUGGGUUGUCUCUUGCUCUUUGAUCAAUUAAAUAAUUGCCAGAUUUAAGGCCAGAAAAAUUCUUUUCUGCUUGAACAAUUUGAGGGGUUUGCACUCUUAUGAGUGAUUUUAACCAUGUUUAAAAGUACUAGAGGCAUUAAGAAGUUAUUCUGGUAUACCCUUCCAGACUUUUUGUCUGUUGUUGAGUAUCCUGGUCCCCAGCACGAGGGAGAUGAAGCAUAGAGAAAGGGAAUCAUCACCCCUAUUCAAUGAUGAGAAAACAAACUCAAAAGUGUACAAACAACAUCAUUAUCUUCAUCCCCAUAUACAUAAAUACAUAUCCAAUGAAAAAAGCAUGAAGCAGCACUGACAUUUCUUAUUUAUACUUUGGCAGAUCUUCCCUUGAAGCUGGUUGUUGUGUUCUGUUCCAGAGCAGAAAAAGACCCCAGCCUGUGGUCCACACUGUAGAUGAUGCUGGAAUCAUCAUUACUGAGCAAAUUACACUUCCAUACCAAGUUGUUUUAAAAAGCAGGCAACAAUCCAAAAAAGUAAGCAGCUGUUAAAUUCCAGAUCCCUUUCAUCUGUCAUCAGAAAUACUAUUCACUAACAUCUACAGAGACUGACCUGUGCAAUCAGAGGCAGCAGCGUGCGUGCCACGGAAAGCAGGAUAUUUAUUGCUGGUGAUAAUGUAUGAGAGGAAGGAAAAGGCAAUUUCGUCUGAAAAUAUAGGUAGAUUGACUGUUAGAAAUACCAUCUUUUCCUUUGCGAUCAGUACACACAUAAGAUAAUGUCAGCCUAAGGCCAAAGUACCAUUUUUGCUAACUAAUUUUUUAGAAAGUAAACUAUUCCUUCAUUGUGAUAUACUUCAGACAGCAAGUACAACAUCAUUCCGAAACCAGACAGCAAAGUAUUGAAGCCAUUUUUUUAAUUGAACCUAAUCAAGUCACACUAAAAGCACAAAAAAAAAAAAAAAGCCAACAGGUAUAAAAUGGCAGAGCAAUACUGUGACAAUUCCAGCAUGUUGUAUAUUCUGGAGUACACACUAAUAAUCA